This 64-nucleotide transfer RNA is filed under the name Okanagana noveboracensis. RNAcentral's name for it is "tRNA-Ser". The record is from RNAcentral. Lineage: Eukaryota; Metazoa; Arthropoda; Insecta; Hemiptera; Cicadidae.
AGGGAAAUAUAUAAAAGUAGCUGCUAACUAGCUUUUAAAGCGGUUAAAUUCCGUUUAUUCCCUA